UACGAAGGGGGCUAGCGUUGUUCGGAUUUACUGGGCGUAAAGCGCGUGUAGGCGGGCUGGAAAGUUGGGGGUGAAAUCCCGAGGCUCAACCUCGGAACUGCCUCCAAAACUUCCAGCCUGGAGUAAGAUAGAGGCAAGUGGAAUUGCGAGUGUAGAGGUGAAAUUCGUAGAUAUUCGCAGGAACACCAGUGGCGAAGGCGACUUGCUGGAUCUUUGCUGACGCUGAGACGCGAAAGCGUGGGGAGCAAACAGG
RNAcentral lists this ribosomal RNA (253 nucleotides) under uncultured bacterium. RNAcentral describes it as "partial 16S ribosomal RNA". It matches the Rfam family "Bacterial small subunit ribosomal RNA", at positions 524 to 776 of the family's 1533-position model. The record is from RNAcentral.